GGCAGCUUGUGGCGAGCUGUUGGGGAGUGACGACCCCACGGACCCGAGUGCUCCAGAGAGUCGGUCAGGGUCUCCGUCUCCGGCGUGUCUUCGUCGGUCGGAGUGGACCCCAAGGGGACCCGCAGGACUCUCAGCUCUGGCUUGCCUUCAUUGGCCGUCCAGAGGGGAGUCGUAAGAGCUAUAUGCUCCAGGGGUGGAAGUGAAAGAUGCAUAAGACGCGAGUUGGCACAGUGGCUGGUAUCAGCCACUGGGUAGAAAGCGGCGCACACCUCUCGAUACCCCUGAGCCGCUCACACCGGUGUUGCUCCUGGUCGUCUUCACGACGGCAGUUUCAGGGGCCCAUCUAGUCAGCGGCAAGUCACCGCCUGCCUCGAUAACGUGUACAGACAUUGUUAUGGCAGGUCAAUAGCCCAAUCUUUUGACCAGCCAAACUUCAAGACCAUAACCGGCACUCUUUUCCACUGGUUUUAUAAUAGCCCCUACGCCUGUUGGGACCGAUUUACGGGUAUCUAUUUGUACCCGUGAAUGGGUUCUAGCAGGUGUAUUACAUAACAGCAAACUUCUCCAAAGGGCCUCUACGUGUUGGAUCUGUAUCCCCACGCACGCCUAUCAAAUGACCGGGAUGUAUAUACCCGUGACUUUAUAUGAGAUACAAAUAAUAAUAAUAAAAUACUUUAUUGUGCACUACAAAGAAAAAUACAUGUUACAAACAAA
Molecule: long non-coding RNA, 714 nt
Organism: Cydia strobilella
Lineage: Eukaryota; Metazoa; Arthropoda; Insecta; Lepidoptera; Tortricidae
Exons: 2
Source: RefSeq, a predicted model, not a curated record